RNAcentral lists this ribosomal RNA (258 nucleotides) under Rhizophagus intraradices. Lineage: Eukaryota; Fungi; Glomeromycota; Glomeromycetes; Glomerales; Glomeraceae. The record is from RNAcentral.
CAGUCGUACCUUCGGGUAAUCAGCCUUUCGAGUGCGAUUCUGUGGAUUGUGAGGAGUUUAAUCACCCUCAUGUUUUACGUAUUCGUGCUCUUGGGUGUACUUGCCCGUGUGGUAGGUUAACAUCAAUUUUGGCGUCAUAAAAUGACUGGAGGAAUGUAGCUUUGGUCUCGUAUCGAAGUGUUAUAGACUCUGGUAGAUGUGACGAUUGGGAUUGGAGGAUUGCAACGGAUACCCUUCGGGGCUACUCGUCUGAUCUCU